RNAcentral lists this ribosomal RNA (354 nucleotides) under uncultured bacterium. RNAcentral describes it as "bacterial SSU rRNA". It matches the Rfam family "Bacterial small subunit ribosomal RNA", at positions 8 to 334 of the family's 1533-position model. The record is from RNAcentral.
AGGGUUUGAUUCUGGCUCAGGACGAACGCUGGCGGCGUGCCUAAUACAUGCAAGUCGAACGAACUCUGGUAUUGAUUGGUGCUUGCAUCAUGAUUUACAUUUGAGUGAGUGGCGAACUGGUGAGUAACACGUGGGAAACCUGCCCAGAAGCGGGGGAUAACACCUGGAAACAGAUGCUAAUACCGCAUAACAACUUGGACCGCAUGGUCCGAGCUUGAAAGAUGGCUUCGGCUAUCACUUUUGGAUGGUCCCGCGGCGUAUUAGCUAGAUGGUGGGGUAACGGCUCACCAUGGCAAUGAUACGUAGCCGACCUGAGAGGGUAAUCGGCCACAUUGGGACUGAGACACGGCCCAA